RNAcentral lists this microRNA (22 nucleotides) under Heligmosomoides polygyrus. RNAcentral's name for it is "hpo-miR-10031e-3p". The record is from miRBase by way of RNAcentral. Lineage: Eukaryota; Metazoa; Nematoda; Chromadorea; Rhabditida; Heligmosomidae.
CUGUCCUAUUUCUUCCUGGUGC